RNAcentral lists this ribosomal RNA (496 nucleotides) under uncultured bacterium. RNAcentral's name for it is "partial 16S ribosomal RNA". It matches the Rfam family "Bacterial small subunit ribosomal RNA", at positions 28 to 506 of the family's 1533-position model. The record is from RNAcentral.
GAUGAACGCUGGCGGCGUGCCUAAUACAUGCAAGUCGAGCGAACGGACGAGAAGCUUGCUUCUCUGAUGUUAGCGGAGGACGGGUGAGUAACACGUGGAUAACCUACCUAUAAGACUGGGAUAACUUCGGGAAACCGGAGCUAAUACCGGAUAAUAUUUUGAACCGCAUGGUUCAAAAGUGAAAGACGGUCUUGCUGUCACUUAUAGAUGGAUCCGCGCUGCAUUAGCUAGUUGGUAAGGUAACGGCUUACCAAGGCAACGAUGCAUAGCCGACCUGAGAGGGUGAUCGGCCACACUGGAACUGAGACACGGUCCAGACUCCUACGGGAGGCAGCAGUAGGGAAUCUUCCGCAAUGGGCGAAAGCCUGACGGAGCAACGCCGCGUGAGUGAUGAAGGUCUUCGGAUCGUAAAACUCUGUUAUUAGGGAAGAACAUAUGUGUAAGUAACUGUGCACAUCUUGACGGUACCUAAUCAGAAAGCCACGGCUAACUACGU